This 1345-nucleotide ribosomal RNA is filed under the name uncultured Haloquadratum sp. RNAcentral's name for it is "bacterial SSU rRNA". It matches the Rfam family "Archaeal small subunit ribosomal RNA". The record is from RNAcentral. Lineage: Archaea; Methanobacteriati; Methanobacteriota; Halobacteria; Halobacteriales; Haloferacaceae.
AUCCUGCCGGAGGCCAUUGCUAUCGGAGUCCGAUUUAGCCAUGCUAGUCGUGCGAGUUCAGACUCGCGGCACCGAGCUCAGUAACACGUGGCCAAACUACCCUACAGAGACGGAUACCCUCGGGAAACUGAGGUUAACCCGUCAUACCGAUCUCAGGCUUGAAUCGCAGAGAUCACAAAACGCCCCGGCGCUGUAGGAUGUGGCUGCGGUUGAUUAGGUAGACGGUGGGGUAACGGCCCACCGUGCCCAUAAUCAGUACAGGUUGUGAGAGCAAGAACCUGGAGACGGAAUCUGAGACAAGAUUCCGGGCCCUACGGGGCGCAGCAGGCGCGAAACCUUUACACUGCACGCACGUGCGAUAAGGGGACUCCGAGUGCGAGGGCAUAUCGUCCUCGCUUUCGUGUACCGUAGGGUGGUACACCAACAAGGGCUGGGCAAGACCGGUGCCAGCCGCCGCGGUAAUACCGGCAGCCCGAGUGAUGGCCGAUAUUAUUGGGCCUAAAGCGUUCGUAGCCGGCCAGACAAGUCUGUUGGGAAAUCCACGCGCUCAACGCGUGGGCGUCCAGCGGAAACUGUGUGGCUUGGGGCCGGAGGACUCGAGGGGUACGUCCGGGGUAGGAGUGAAAUCCCGUAAUCCUGGACGGACCGCCGAUGGCGAAAGCACGUCGCGAGAACGGAUCCGACAGUGAGGGACGAAAGCCAGGGUCUCGAACCGGAUUAGAUACCCGGGUAGUCCUGGCCGUAAACAAUGUCUGCUAGGUGUGGCUCCCACUACGAGUGGGUGCUGUGCCGUAGGGAAGCCGCUAAGCAGACCGCCUGGGAAGUACGUCUGCAAGGAUGAAACUUAAAGGAAUUGGCGGGGGAGCACUACAACCGGAGGAGCCUGCGGUUUAAUUGGACUCAACGCCGGACAUCUCACCGGCACCGACAACAGUAAUGACGGUCAGGUUGAUGACCUUACCCGAGUUGUUGAGAGGAGGUGCAUGGCCGCCGUCAGCUCGUACCGUGAGGCAUCCUGUUAAGUCAGGCAACGAGCGAGAUCCACGUUCCUAAUUGCCAGCACCAUCGCACGAUGGGUGGGUACAUUAGGAAGACUGCCAGUGCUAAACUGGAGGAAGGAAUGGGCAACGGUAGGUCAGUAUGCCCCGAAUGGGCUGGGCAACACGCGGGCUACAAUGGUCAGGACAACGGGUUCCAACACUGAAAAGUGACGGUAAUCUCGCAAACCUGGUCGUAGUUCGGAUUGCGGACUGAAACUCGUCCGCAUGAAGCUGGAUUCGGUAGUAAUCGCGUGUCAGCAGCGCGCGGUGAAUACGUCCCUGCUCCUUGUACACACCGCCCGUCA